Molecule: ribosomal RNA, 1055 nt
Filed under: Salmonella enterica subsp. enterica
Lineage: Bacteria; Pseudomonadati; Pseudomonadota; Gammaproteobacteria; Enterobacterales; Enterobacteriaceae
Description: bacterial LSU rRNA
Rfam family: Bacterial large subunit ribosomal RNA
Source: RNAcentral
CCGAAUGGGGAAACCCAGUGUGAUUCGUCACACUAUCAUUAACUGAAUCCAUAGGUUAAUGAGGCGAACCGGGGGAACUGAAACAUCUAAGUACCCCGAGGAAAAGAAAUCAACCGAGAUUCCCCCAGUAGCGGCGAGCGAACGGGGAGGAGCCCAGAGCCUGAAUCAGCAUGUGUGUUAGUGGAAGCGUCUGGAAAGGCGCGCGAUACAGGGUGACAGCCCCGUACACAAAAGCGCAUGUGCUGUGAGCUCGAUGAGUAGGGCGGGACACGUGGUAUCCUGUCUGAAUAUGGGGGGACCAUCCUCCAAGGCUAAAUACUCCUGACUGACCGAUAGUGAACCAGUACCGUGAGGGAAAGGCGAAAAGAACCCCGGCGAGGGGAGUGAAAAAGAACCUGAAACCGUGUACGUACAAGCAGUGGGAGCACCCUUUUGGGUGUGACUGCGUACCUUUUGUAUAAUGGGUCAGCGACUUAUAUUCUGUAGCAAGGUUAACCGCAUAGGGGAGCCGGAGGGAAACCGAGUCUUAAUUGGGCGUUAAGUUGCAGGGUAUAGACCCGAAACCCGGUGAUCUAGCCAUGGGCAGGUUGAAGGUUGGGUAACACUAACUGGAGGACCGAACCGACUAAUGUUGAAAAAUUAGCGGAUGACCUGUGGCUGGGGGUGAAAGGCCAAUCAAACCGGGAGAUAGCUGGUUCUCCCCGAAAGCUAUUUAGGUAGCGCCUCGUGAAUUCAUCUCCGGGGGUAGAGCACUGUUUCGGCUAGGGGGCCAUCCCGGCUUACCAACCCGAUGCAAACUGCGAAUACCGGAGAAUGUUAUCACGGGAGACACACGGCGGGUGCUAACGUCCGUCGUGAAGAGGGAAACAACCCAGACCGCCAGCUAAGGUCCCAAAGUCAUGGUUAAGUGGGAAACGAUGUGGGAAGGCCCAGACAGCCAGGAUGUUGGCUUAGAAGCAGCCAUCAUUUAAAGAAAGCGUAAUAGCUCACUGGUCGAGUCGGCCUGCGCGGAAGAUGUAACGGGGCUAAACCAUGCACCGAAGCUGCGGCAGCGA